UACGUAGGGGGCAAGCGUUGUCCGGAUUUAUUGGGCGUAAAGAGCGUGUAGGCGGUCAGGUAGGUCCGUUGUGAAAACUCGAGGCUCAACCUCGAGACGCCGAUGGAAACCAUCUGACUAGAGUCCGGAAGAGGAGAGUGGAAUUCCUGGUGUAGCGGUGAAAUGCGCAGAUAUCAGGAGGAACACCGAUGGCGAAGGCAGCUCACUGGGACGGUACUGACGCUGAGGCGCGAAAGCCAGGGGAGCAAACGGG
This 253-nucleotide ribosomal RNA is filed under the name uncultured bacterium. Its description in RNAcentral is "partial 16S ribosomal RNA". It matches the Rfam family "Bacterial small subunit ribosomal RNA", at positions 524 to 776 of the family's 1533-position model. The record is from RNAcentral.